RNAcentral lists this long non-coding RNA (347 nucleotides) under Capsicum annuum. Its description in RNAcentral is "long non-coding RNA (CANN_LNC020645)". The record is from RNAcentral. Lineage: Eukaryota; Viridiplantae; Streptophyta; Magnoliopsida; Solanales; Solanaceae.
GCCCAUCAUCAUCGAAAGAGACCUUAUUUGCCUCUACCGCUCGACCGAUUGUUGUAGCCAAAGUUUCACUUGUCCUUUUUUUUGGUAUGCUAACCCCACAUAAUACUUCCAUCAAAGCAUUCCUAUGGGCUUUAGAACUCAUAAUCAAGGACAUAACGGAUAUGCGGGCAGGUGUCUUCUUGAGCUUCUCUUCAACCGAAUAGUCCUUGGGUUGCAUCUUCUUCCAAAAUUCUGCGGCUUCAGCAUCAGUAACAUUCCUCUUUGGGUUAUGCAAUUUCUUGAGAAUUCCUUGAUUCAGAUCUUCUGGAGUGUAACACCUUCAUGACCUAGUCAUUGUCUGAUCCGUG